AUUGAACGCUGGCGGCAUGCUUUACACAUGCAAGUCGAACGGUAACAGGCCUUCGGGUGCUGACGCGUGGCGGACGGGCGAGUAAUGCAUCGGAACGUGCCCAGAGGUGGGGGAUAACGCACCGAAAGCUGUGCUAAUACCGCAUGGGAUCUGAGGAUGAAAGCGGGGGACCAAGCAGCAAUGUUUGGCCUCGCGCCUCUGGAGCGGCCGAUGUCCGAUUAGAUAGUUGGUGGGGUAAAGGCCUACCAAGCCGACGAUCUGUAGCUGGUCUGAGAGGACGACCGGCGACAGUGGGAGAGGGAGAACGCCCAGACUCCUACGGGGGGCAGGAGUCGGGAAUUUUGGACAAUGGGCGCAGGCCUGCUCCAGCAAUGCGGCAAGCGGCGAGAGGGCCCUCCGGUGGUAAACCGCAAGUGUACGGAACGAAAAGGCUCUGGCUAAUACCUAGGACUGAUGACGGUACCGUAGGAAUAAGCACCGGCUAACUACGUG
This 492-nucleotide ribosomal RNA is filed under the name uncultured bacterium. Its description in RNAcentral is "partial 16S ribosomal RNA". It matches the Rfam family "Bacterial small subunit ribosomal RNA", at positions 29 to 507 of the family's 1533-position model. The record is from RNAcentral.